This 630-nucleotide ribosomal RNA is filed under the name uncultured bacterium. RNAcentral describes it as "bacterial SSU rRNA". It matches the Rfam family "Bacterial small subunit ribosomal RNA", at positions 202 to 833 of the family's 1533-position model. The record is from RNAcentral.
GAAAGAUUCAUCGGAAGAGGAUGGGCAUGCGGCGCAUUAGCUAGACGGCGGGGUAACGGCCCACCGUGGCGACGAUGCGUAGGGGUUCUGAGAGGAAGGUCCCCCACACUGGUACUGAGACACGGACCAGACUCCUACGGGAGGCAGCAGUGAGGAAUAUUGGUCAAUGGGAGAGAUCCUGAACCAGCCAAGCCGCGUGAGGGAAGACGGCCCUAUGGGUUGUAAACCUCUUUUGUCGGAGAACAAAACCCGGGACGUGUCCCGGACUGCGUGUAUCCGAAGAAAAAGCAUCGGCUAACUCCGUGCCAGCAGCCGCGGUAAUACGGAGGAUGCGAGCGUUAUCCGGAUUUAUUGGGUUUAAAGGGUGCGUAGGCGGUCCGUUAAGUCAGCGGUAAAAUUGCGGGGCUCAACCCCGUCGAGCCGUUGAAACUGGCAGACUUGAGUUGGCGAGAAGUACGCGGAAUGCGCGGUGUAGCGGUGAAAUGCAUAGAUAUCGCGCAGAACUCCGAUUGCGAAGGCAGCGUACCGGCGCCAGACUGACGCUGAGGCACGAAAGCGUGGGGAUCGAACAGGAUUAGAUACCCUGGUAGUCCACGCAGUAAACGAUGAAUGCUGGUUGUCCGGGUCGAA